AAGCCAACCGACCAAAUGAAAUGUUUGAUGGUGGAGCUGUGAGAGGUGUUUGGUCAUGUGGUGAAAAGUAUGAGUUUGUGUCUUUUAGAUUGAUUUUCAUUUUUUGGCUUGCUUUAUGUGUAUGACCCUGGACUGGUUUUAGAGAAUUGUUUGUUGUCUUGGCCCUACUGUGGAAGACUACCUGCCAUUGUGUAUGAACACUGGAGUGAUUUGGAUUGGUCCUGAACACCGAGAGAAACUCAGAUGAAAAGUCAGAGAGGACAUCAGGCUUUGUUCAUUUUGGUGAACCGUGGUAGAGUUGGAAACGAUCAAUCUACAUGCAAAUACUGCAUUACUCCUGUCUGUGGUUAAAUCAAAGCAACUGCACAUUUCAAGGCAUCUACAAAACAUCCACUGCUUGGGGCCAUACCUCCCUGAAUAUACCCGAUCGUGCCAUGUCUCCAAAGCUAAGCUGGGUCAGGCCUGGAUGGUACUGGGUGGGGUCACUGCCUGAGAAUACCAGGACGUCUGACAGCUGCGGAGCGGGUCGCCCUUCCCCGGGGUGCUGGAGGACGAGCGGCGCGCCGGGGCGGGCGCUGCCGCAGAGCCGGGCGUCUUCGUUAGCGGGUUAAUCAGCGGGGUCCCGCCCACGCGCCGUGCGCUACCGUGACGGAUCCAGCGGGCUGAACCUCGGCCGGAUCUGCCGCUGGACCGCGAGGCCGCUGGGGGACGGAUCCAGUAUCUCACCUGCUCAUUCAGGCCUUCGCUGGCUUUCAGACCAAAUCCUUUUAAAAAUGAAAAAGGUACUUUUUUUCAUCCCUGAGCCUCCCCCCCCCCCCCCCACUUCCAAACUGGGGAAAAAAAUUGGACUUGAAAUAUGCCAAAAAUUUUGGCACGGCGCUGUCUACAUUCAAAUGUCAAAGAGAUCUGGGUGAAGAGGUUCUAGUGUAAGUGGGAUGGCCCUGCAGUGGUAGAGGCCUUUUACAGGAAUUACUGGGCCUGCAGCCAGAAUGUUGCCGUUGCGAUGCUUGACUGUUACUCCACCUUAAAUGCCUUCGUAAAUCCCCACCUGUGUACCUGGAUAUUAUGAACUACAAUGGCAACUCUGAGGACCUGGUUAUGGAAGUUUCAUAUCUUGUGUGGGGCCAGGUUGUUAUGUUAUGCUCUUGAUGAGAUUAUUUGACCUGAACCACUUCCCUUCAUAUGCGUUUGUCUAAAUACCAUAUUCUGUGUAACAGCAAUUGUAGUCCACCAACCUUAGACUCCAAACUGGAAUAGCUGUCCAACUAUUUUAAACAUUAAAGUUUUAGCCCCAUUUACCAUAAGGCUCAUCUGGAGGUCUAAAUUCAAAGUUCAAUACCCCCCCACCCUCGAUAAUGUUGUCAGUUGGUCCAGGGAACUGCGACCGGGGGUGCAUUUUAAAGCUCCCUGGUGGUAUAGCUCCUGCCCCUCCCUAUUUUUUUUGCCCCCGCAGUACUUAAAUCACACCAGCACUUCAAUUAGUUAAUUGACCCCAAGUGAGUUCACUGACCCCAACAGUGAGGGCUACUCACAUAAUGAGAGAGAGAUCAACUGAGGACUUGGGAGAUGGAUAUGGAGCAAAGUACCCCCAGGUGAUCACUGCCUUCCACCUCUCCGUAUGAUUGUAUCUCUCUCCCCCCUCUGUCUCUUUCUCUCUUUCUUUCCUCCCCUGCUCCCCCCUCUUUUAUGUCUCUCUCUCAUGUGACAUUAACAUACAAUAAUACCCCAAAACAUCAAGAGCCCAAGAGUCCAAGAGUGACAUAAUCUCUUUU
Long non-coding RNA from Anguilla rostrata (American eel), 1772 nucleotides. RefSeq lists it as uncharacterized. The record is from RefSeq and is a predicted model, not a curated record. Lineage: Eukaryota; Metazoa; Chordata; Actinopteri; Anguilliformes; Anguillidae. The transcript has 3 exons.